UCAAGCAAUAAGGGCACAGGGCGGAUGCCUUGGCACUAAGAGCCGAUGAAAGACGUGAUAAGCUGCGAUAAGCUUCGGGGAGGAGCAAAUAUCCCGUGAUCCGGAGAUGUCUGAAUGGGGAAACCCACAUGAGCAAACCUCAUGUAUCCAUACGCCAAUCCAUAACGUAUGGAAGGGAACCCGGGGAACUGAAACAUCUAAGUACCCGGAGGAAGAGAAAGAAAACUCGAUUCCGUAAGUAGCGGCGAGCGAACGCGGAGGAGCCUAAACCGGAAUGCGUGCAUUCCGGGGUUACGGACUGCAUUUAAGAUUCAGUGAUGUUAACAGAACGGUUUUGGGAAAGCCGGCCGCAGAGGGUGAAAGCCCCGUACGUGAAAACAGAGCUGACUGAGCAGGAUCCAGAGUACCACGAGACACGUGGAACCUUGUGGGAAAUCAGGGGGACCACCCCCUAAGGCUAAAUACUACUUAGUGACCGAUAGCGCAUAGUACUGUGAAGGAAAGGUGAAAAGGACCCCGGGAGGGGAGUGAAAGAGAACCUGAAACCCUGUGUUUACAAGCUGUGGGAGCACGUUAAGGUGCGACCGCGUACUUUUUGUAGAACGGUCCGGCGAGUUGCCGGCGCUGGCAAGGUUAAGCGGUAAAGCCGUGGAGCCGAAGGGAAACCAAGUCUCAAAUGGGCGUAAAGUCAGCGCAGGCAGACCCGAAACCGGGUGACCUAUCCAUGUCCAGGUUGAAGCGGAAGUAAAAUUCCGUGGAGGACCGGAUCCACAUCCGUUGAAAAGGGUGGGAAUGAGGUGUGGAUAGGGGAGAAAUUCCAAUCGAACCCGGAGAUAGCUGGUUCUCCUCGAAAUAGCUUUAGGGCUAGCCUCGUAUUAGUUUAGCGGAGGUAGAGCACUGAAUUCCUAAGGGGGCGUCAAAGCUUACCAAGGGAUAUCAAACUCCGAAUGCCGCAUAAAUGAUGUACGGGAGUCAGACUGCACGAGAUAAGUUGGGCAGUCGAAAGGGAAAGAGCCCAGACCUACAGCUAAGGUCCCAAAGUGUGUGUUAAGUGGAAAAGGAUGUGGGAUUUCAGAGACAACCAGGAUGUUGGCUUAGAAGCAGCCACACAUUCAAAGAGUGCGUAAUAGCUCACUGGUCGAGAGGUCCUGCGCCGAAAAUGUCCGGGGCUGAAACACAACACCGAAGCUUAGGAACGAGAGAUCGUUGGUAGAGGAGCAUUCUUAAAGGGGCGAAGCAGUACCGGCAAGGAGCUGUGGACUUUUAAGAAGAGAGAAUGCCGGAAUGAGUAGCGAGAUGGAGGUGGGAAUCCUCCAGGCCGAAUAUCCAAGGUUUCCAGAGUAAAGCUGAUCUGCUCUGGGUAAGUCGGGGCCUAAGGCGAGGCUGAAAAGCGUAGCCGAUGGACAACAGGUUGAGAUUCCUGUACCGCGUAUCAUCAGAACUGUGGGGACACAGAAGGACAGCACAUCCCGGGAAUGGGAAGACCGGGGCAAGCAGGGUAGGAGUCAGGCAGGCAAAUCCGUCUGGCAAUCCGAAGCUGUGAUGCGGAGCGAACAGAAGUAGCGAAGUGUGCGAUUCCAGCUGUCAAGAAAAGCCGCUAUUGUGUGAUACGUGCCCGUACCGUAAACCGACACAGGUAGAUGAGGAGAGAAUCCUAAGGCCGGCGGGAGAAGCAUUGUUAAGGAACUCGGCAAAAUGACCCUGUAACUUCGGGAGAAAGGGUGCCUGGGAAACCAGGCCGCAGAGAAUAGGCUCAAGCAACUGUUUAGCAAAAACACAGGUCUAUGCAAAACCGUAAGGUGAGGUAUAUGGGCUGACGCCUGCCCGGUGCUGGAAGGUUAAGAGGAGAGGUUAGAGCAAUCGAAGCUUUGAAUUGAAGCCCCAGUAAACGGCGGCCGUAACUAUAACGGUCCUAAGGUAGCGAAAUUCCUUGUCGGGUAAGUUC
Molecule: ribosomal RNA, 1945 nt
Filed under: human gut metagenome
Description: bacterial LSU rRNA
Rfam family: Bacterial large subunit ribosomal RNA
Source: RNAcentral